Beta vulgaris subsp. vulgaris (sugar beet) is the source of this 1512-nucleotide long non-coding RNA. RefSeq lists it as uncharacterized. Lineage: Eukaryota; Viridiplantae; Streptophyta; Magnoliopsida; Caryophyllales; Amaranthaceae. The transcript has 3 exons. The record is from RefSeq and is a predicted model, not a curated record.
AUCAAAAUCUAAUCUGACCGUUUAUCACGCGGUUCAUUUGAAACCCAUUUUUUUUACCAAAAAUUUUCUCUCUUUUCUCCUUUCUUCUCUCUUCUCUCUCUUUCCUUUCUCUUCUGGAACAUUUUUCUCUCCUCUAAGCUGAAUCUUCUUCUUGUUUGCAGCGUUUUUCAUCCUCAAUUUAUAAUUCCAAACCAUUUAUAAUUGCAACAAACAGACAAUUGAGUGCGCUUCACCCAGUUUCAAACUUCUGCAUCCUCACUUCUGUGAUACAAUGCCUGUUAAUACAAUAGCUCGUCAGAUUGCUCUUAAUGCUGAUGGAUUGUUUGAGGCAACUGUAUUUUCGAGGAAGUAUGUUGGACAAUGGAUAUCCCAAAUGUAUAAGAACUGGGUAUUAACUGAGCAAGCUUUUCCUAGAGACCUUAUCAAGAGAGGAAUGGCACGCAGUCAGUGACUUGAAAAGCCCUCGUGGAUACAAGCUACUGAUAGAGGACUACCCAUAUGUUGUUGAUGGGAUUAAAAUAUGGGCUGCAAUCAUGACUUGGGUUAAAGAGUAUUUGUUCAUUUUACUGUUGUUCUUUGUAGUGUAAAAUCAAGGUUUUCGACUUAACUGCGCCAAUCACGAGGUUUUUUAAGGGGCGACGUGAUUUACUGGCGAGGACGCGAGUUAUCCUCCUCCUUUGGGUUUUGUUUGCUCCUUCAUGGUCGGAUCUGGAGAACUUCGCGACGGUGUUGUUUGUUUUGGACGGUGAUGCUCAUGUGUUUUGGGUUAAUUAACCAAAAGUUACCCUAAAAGUGGUAAUAGUUACACUUAUAUAAAUAAAGCUACCCUUGAAAUAUGUAGGACUACCCUUAAUAUAAUAAAGUUAUCCCAAAAUUGAUAAAAGUUACCCUAAAAGUGUUAAAUGUUACCCUUUAUAACCUUGGCAUAUGUAAAGUCAUUCUUAAUAUAAUAUUGUUACCCCACAACUGGUAAAAGUUACCCUUAAAAUAUAGGAAAAAUUGACAAUAAAGGUCUGAACUAUGGGUGAUAAUUUUUAAAAAGUCUGAACUAUUGAUUAACCUGUGUAGGUCCCAACUUUAGGGGGUCUUAACUUUUAGCGGGCCUCGACGACUUAAAACUGAAGAUUUUUUUUUAAAAUCUCACCUAGUUCCUACGUCCCUCCCUCAAUUAACCCUUCUGAUGUGACCCAAGUUUUACAGUUGAUGACCUAUUAAGCCAGUUUUAAGUCACUAAGGCCCGCUAAAAGUUAAGACCCCCCAAAGUUGGAACCUACACAGGUUAAUCAAUAGUUCAGACCUUUUAAAAAUUAUCACCCAAAGUUCAGACCUCUAUUGUUAAUUUAUCCUAAAAUAUAUAAAAGUUGCCCUUGAAAUAUAUAAAGUUAUCCUUAAUAUAAUCUAGUUACCCUAAAACUGGUAGAAGUUACCCUUAAAAUAUAUAAAGUUGCCUUAAAAGUGGUAAAAGUUACCCUGUUUUCAGUUUUCAGAUUAAAAGUUGUUUUCAGCGGAUCC